RNAcentral lists this transfer RNA (58 nucleotides) under Dipodomys ordii (Ord's kangaroo rat). It matches the Rfam family "tRNA", at positions 8 to 63 of the family's 71-position model. From Rfam's summary of the family: Transfer RNA (tRNA) molecules are approximately 80 nucleotides in length. Their secondary structure includes four short double-helical elements and three loops (D, anti-codon, and T loops). Lineage: Eukaryota; Metazoa; Chordata; Mammalia; Rodentia; Heteromyidae. The record is from Rfam by way of RNAcentral.
UGGCUCAGUGGUAGAGCACUUGCCUUACAUGCAUGAAGCCCUGGGUUCGAUUCCUCAG